Molecule: ribosomal RNA, 484 nt
Filed under: uncultured bacterium
Lineage: Bacteria
Description: partial 16S ribosomal RNA
Rfam family: Bacterial small subunit ribosomal RNA
Source: RNAcentral
AUUGAACGCUGGCGGCAGGCCUAACACAUGCAAGUCGAGCGGAUGAAGGGAGCUUGCUCCUGGAUUCAGCGGCGGACGGGUGAGUAAUGCCUAGGAAUCUGCCUGGUAGUGGGGGAUAACGUCCGGAAACGGGCGCUAAUACCGCAUACGUCCUGAGGGAGAAAGUGGGGGAUCUUCGGACCUCACGCUAUCAGAUGAGCCUAGGUCGGAUUAGCUAGUUGGUGGGGUAAAGGCCUACCAAGGCGACGAUCCGUAACUGGUCUGAGAGGAUGAUCAGUCAAACUGGAACUGAGACACGGUCCAGCCUCCUACGGGAGGCAGCAGUGGGGAAUAUUGGACAAUGGGCGAAAGCCUGAUCCAGCCAUGCCGCGUGUGUGAAGAAGGUCUUCGGAUUGUAAAGCACUUUAAGUUGGGAGGAAGGGCAGUAAGUUAAUACCUUGCUGUUUUGACGUUACCAACAGAAUAAGCACCGGCUAACUUCGUG